UAAGUUAGUAGUGAAAGCGUUCGGCUCAACCGGAUAUACAUUAUUAAAACUGCAAAGCUAGAGGAUGAGAGAGGUUAUUGGAAUUGCUAGUGUAGGAGUGAAAUCCGUAGAUAUUAGCAGGAACACCGAUGGCGUAGGCAGAUAACUGGCUCAUUCCUGACACUAAGGCACGAAAGCGUGGGAGCGAACGGGAUUAGAUACCCCGGUAGUCCACGCCGUAAACUAUGGAUGCUA
RNAcentral lists this ribosomal RNA (234 nucleotides) under uncultured Candidatus Saccharibacteria bacterium. Its description in RNAcentral is "partial 16S ribosomal RNA". It matches the Rfam family "Bacterial small subunit ribosomal RNA", at positions 584 to 818 of the family's 1533-position model. Lineage: Bacteria; Candidatus Saccharimonadota. The record is from RNAcentral.